RNAcentral lists this ribosomal RNA (497 nucleotides) under uncultured bacterium. Its description in RNAcentral is "partial 16S ribosomal RNA". It matches the Rfam family "Bacterial small subunit ribosomal RNA", at positions 28 to 507 of the family's 1533-position model. The record is from RNAcentral.
GAUGAACGCUGGCGGCGUGCCUAAUACAUGCAAGUCGAGCGAACAGACGAGGAGCUUGCUCCUCUGACGUUAGCGGCGGACGGGUGAGUAACACGUGGAUAACCUACCUAUAAGACUGGGAUAACUUCGGGAAACCGGAGCUAAUACCGGAUAAUAUAUUGAACCGCAUGGUUCAAUAGUGAAAGACGGUUUUGCUGUCUCUUAUAGAUGGAUCCGCGCCGCAUUAGCUAGUUGGUAAGUUAACGGCUUACCAAGGGAACGAUGCGUAGCCGACCUGAGAGGGUGAUCGGCCACACGGGAACUGAGACACGGUCCAGAGGCCUACGGGAGGGAGCAGUAGGGAAUCUGCCGCAAUGGGCGAAAGCCUGACGGAGCAACGCCGCGUGAGUGAUGAAGGUCUUCGGAUCGUAAAACUCUGUUAUUAGGGAAGAACAAAUGUGUAAGUAACUAUGCACGUCUUGACGGUACCUAAUCAGAAAGCCACGGCUAACUACGUG